Pieris napi is the source of this 791-nucleotide long non-coding RNA. RefSeq lists it as uncharacterized. Lineage: Eukaryota; Metazoa; Arthropoda; Insecta; Lepidoptera; Pieridae. The transcript is spliced from 3 exons. The record is from RefSeq and is a predicted model, not a curated record.
UUUGAGUAUUAAGCCAGAAAGGAGUCGCCUUUACGCGCGUCCCCCUCUGUCAAAGUACGAACCCGCUGGACAUACGCGUUAUAUAAAACUGUUUCUCGACCCUUCCGCGCCAUUCCGGUAUGACGCUUGUUAGUGUAAAGAGCUCCGACAAAAAUGACUGGAUGCAGUGUAUUCGGCUGUAAAAAAAGGUCUGACACAUCGAGUGUACAAAAAGACAACGUGACAUUUCAUCUAUUUCCAAAAGACCCUAUCCGUCGACAACAAUGGAUAAAAGCUUGUGAAAAUCACAGAACAUGGCUACCCAAACGUACAAGUAAAGUUUGCUCCGAUCAUUUUGAUACGUCAUGUUUCUUGUUGCUGGCUAACAACAAAAGAAAAUUAAAGGAAUCAGCAACACCUACUUUGAAAUUACCAAAUAAAUUUAUUCUGUCAACAUACGAAGCAAAUAGAUCUUUAUGAUUGUUAUUUUAAACUAACCUUCUACUUGCGAAUUCGUCUGGGCGGAUUUUGGAUUGUAACAAUUUUUUGACUAUCCCUUGGGGACCUUACACAUUUCCGGGAUAAAUCAUAGUCUGUGUUAGUAGUGCUUGUUCCCUACACCCCCCAAAUUUCAUCGAAAUCGGUCAAGCCGUUAAGCGUGAAAGAGAAACAAACACAAAUAAAAAUUCAUACUUUCACAUUUAUAAUACUAUAGUCCGCUUUACAUUUGUGUAAGUGAUCGCCAAAAGCAUUAUACCUUGUCUCCUUCAAACUUAAACACAAUAACAAAAUUAAUUUGCAGCUCAAUAACG